Molecule: small RNA, 5099 nt
Filed under: Rattus norvegicus (Norway rat)
Lineage: Eukaryota; Metazoa; Chordata; Mammalia; Rodentia; Muridae
Description: uncharacterized LOC102555396
Source: RNAcentral
UGCUGAGCCAUCCCACCAGCCCCCAAUUUACCUGUCUAAAGUGUACAGGGUAUGUUUCUGACAAUAGCGUAAGGUAGUAUAACCUUUGCCCAAGUCAAGACACAGAACAUUUCGUCACCCUGAGAAGUUGCUUCACAAAUUCACCGUGACCUUCGCCCCUCCCCCAAGUCAUGGGGCAACAACCGAUCUGAUAUUCGGUCUUUAUCCUUUUGCUUUUUUUGUAAAAUAAUGAGGAACAGACAUUCUCAGUGGGAGCUACAGCCAAAUACCGGAAUAGGGAUUUUCACCGGCAAGUAGGCAAGAGCUCUGAGCAAGACAUGGCUAUGCUGUAGAACAUGUAAGGUAAGACGGAGCUUCGGAGCUGAGGUCUGGGGGUCAGCAAUCGGCCACACGACUGGCUCACCCAGGACCUCAUUUUCAUAGCUCAAAGAUUGAGGAGGUGGCAGAGAAAACAGUUCAAGCAAGGGGGCUCUUUGCAAGCUUCAUGUGGCCUUUGUCCUCACCAGAGCCACUUUGUGACUCCCUGCCCCAGACCAGUCAGUGACAGGAUCCAAUUUGCAUUCUGGAAGGAUUAUUCCACUCACUAGGAAACAGAGGCAGGGAAGAGUUGGAGGCCUGAAGUGAGACUGGUAGCCUCAGCCACGGCUGUGGUGGGCAGGAGUAGUCAGAUACAGUCGGCCUUUAGGAGGUAGGGUUCCAGGACUUAGUAGGAUGGUGGAGGAGGAGGUGACAGAAAAAGGCUUAAGAUGGUUCCCUUGUUUCUAGAUUGGAUGUUUGUUUGAACAUAAAAAUGGCGGCAUCAUUGAAGGGACACUGCAGCUGAAGCCGUCUGGCAGUGUGGAAGUGGAGACGUGGGUUCUGGAAUGCAGCUAAGGGGCAAUGUCCAGUGGACAGUUGGAUGUGCCAGUCUAGAUCUCAGAGAAGAGAUUCCAUUCUCUGUGAACUAACUUCUAGGUUCUCCUGUAGCCUGAUAGAAAACCAAAGGAUUUGUCCCAUCCAGAGGAACUUUUCUCCUUACCCGUUUUCUUCCCCCCUUUCCCCCCUCGCCUUUUCUGUAGAAAAGGAUUGAUUCUCUGUGUAGCUGUGGCUGUAGACCACGCUGGCUUCAAACUCAGGGAUCUGUCAGUCUCUGCCCUACAAGUUCUGGGAUCAAAGGUGCGCCCCACCUGGCCACCUGGCCAAGAGGAACUUCUUUCAUUAAGUAGAAUCUUCUUCCUAAAUUGUUUGUUCUAGAAAGAGCUAGUUUCAUGUUACGAACCUUUCGGAAUCCUGGGAAAGGGCUCUGGGCUUUCGAUACAUUUUGAUACAAUAUAGCGCAUCUACUAAGCACCUGUGAGAUGAGGAGGGAGCCAGGCUGGCAGCUUUCUAGUUGCUCGUUGUUCAGAAGCGCUGAUGUUCCUCACUUUGUGAUAUUGACACUGUGCUUUGUGCAUUUAUAAAAUCAAGGCUGGAGGAGGUCUCAGCACAUGGUCUACAACCAAGGAAUAGUCUACGAUCAACGACUAAUUUCCCUUUCUCUUUGAAGCAGAAAGGUAUUAAGGGAGCUGUGUCUGUGCUCUCCAGAGAGGCAGAGUAACAGAGCACACGUGAAACUAUUAGAGACUGCCUCGUCAAUGUGGAGACCAAGAAGCCCUCCAGUCUGCUGUCUGCAGGAUGAAGAACAAGGAAGACCAGGGGUGUGAACCCCAGUGUGAGCCUGAGGGCUCUCAAGUCAGGACUGAUGUUUAAAGACGGGGAGAGAGGGGUUCCCUGGCUCAAACAGAUGGUAAAACUCACCCUUUCUCCACAUCUUUUGUGCAGUUUGUUUCUUCAAUGAAUUAGAUCAUGUCCAACUACACUCCAAAGACCCUUAUUCUUCGUUCAGUCUACAAAUUUAAGUGUUAAGGACUUCCAGAGACAUUUGUAGCAAACACAGAAAAUAGUCGUUUCUCAGUCUAUCUGGGUAUUCUGCACCUUAGCCAAAGGAAACCAUGAAAAACCAUCUUGGCUUUGUUUUUAUUAUAAAAAGACUAACUGGAGAGACCUAGUCCAGGCUGUGCCUGGCUGUGGGGAAGAGAAGGACAGGGAGGCAGACGACACCCUGUCUUGGUUAAGAGAGCCACAUGGAGGGAAAAGCCAAAUCAUCACUCUCCAGGGCCAAGGAAGCCAGAGGUUUCUUUUAGAAAUUCCAUCCGAAAGAAGCUAGAUGUGGAAUUCUGCAGGCCACAUCAUACUUCUCAGGGAUCCUCACGUAAAAUUUAACAGCCUAUUUCUUUGUCAUUCCCACAGAUGUUGGUGAGAGGGAUAUCUCUGUCACUAUAACAAAACGCACAAGACAAUCAACUUACAAAGAGGAAAGGUUUUCCACCUCAUCGUCUUAAAGGUUCCACUCCAUAACCAGGAAGACGAAUUUCUGGCAAGGUUGCAGGAGGCAAAGCCUGCUCUUAAGUGUGUAUGAGCAAUCACACCGUGGCCAGAAGCAAAGGAGAAGAGAGUGGGCACCACAUAGAGCAUGUGUGCCUCUUCUGGGGGGCACACAUCCAGUGAUCUAGGACUUCUCUGCUACAUCCCACCUCACCCCACAAUAGCCUUGCCUGACGAGCAUGCCUUCAACACAUGGGUCUGUGGUGGUACAUCAAAUCCAAAGUGUAGCAAGGGCCAGGUAGACUCACAACAUACAGGCCAUGUUCUCUUUGCCACAUGGUGAAGUGAAUCACAGAACAUCUUUUGAAUAGGAACUUUCACCUUCUAUUUUAUCAGCAGGAAUCUGGGCAGCCAGGAUUCAUCCAGUUGUUGGGCAGCCCACCAAAGUCUCAUCUUAAUGACCUGUGUUUAAGACAAACCUCUCAGAAUGAGGCCGUGGCUCACAAGCCUUUGCCUUGCAGGAUUGGGACCCUGAGUCCCAUCCCCAUUCUACCCUGCACAGCCCUAACAGUCAUAACCCAAUGAAAACCUCUGUCUCCCACACCCUCCAUGACUAACGACACGGGACACUCAACUAUAAAAAGCAUCAAGUGCAGACAGUCAUUUUGACUCUCUAGAACACUAAGCUAAUUAAUGCACCCUUGACUCUUCCUCCGUUCCCGUUAGGCUGACACUCGGGGCCAGCCCUCCUGUUUACUAGUUCUCUGAGAGGAAAUUUUUAGGAAAACGUUGCUUUUAGUACAACCUCGGUCACAUUCUUCUCACGUUGGUUGCUGCAUAGUCUGAAGGGGUUACGUCAAGGGGAAUUUGACACCCACCCUUCUCAUUUGCUCUUUGAUUUGCACACUCAUCAAAAGACUCGGGCCAUUUGAUACCUCACAAGAUGAUUCCUCCUAUAGCAGACACUGAGGGAAGGGGGAGUCACCUGGCCCCAGCAUCUGCUAACUGUGUUCUGUUCCUAUUUCAACUGUUGACUCGAUAAAUGCCCUUGGGCAAGUCACUGAACCCCUCCAUGUUUAGUCUCUGGGGAAUGAAAUCUGCCAACUGUAUUUUGUGGGUUUGAACCUCGCUGCCCUCUGGGAUAAAAAUAGGAGAGGACCAGGUGUCAGCUGGUCCCAAACUGAUGUAAGGACAGCGGCCAUGGGAUCUCAAAGAUGUCCUUGAGCUAUAAAUUCUAUAAUAGGAACCCAAACACGGGGGCCUCCGGCAUUUGGUUUGUGUGAUGAAUCCCCGCCCUUGAAACUUUUCCAGCCUGGCAAAAACUGGCAUUAACCUUCCACUCUUGAAUCUCUUGAAUCCUCUGCCUCGCCCUGCCCCCACUUCUCAGUAUUUCUCCCGCCAAGGUACUCAACCCUGAUCGCUGUUGCUUUUCACAAAGCUCUUGGACUGCAAACUUCCUGAGGGAGGAGAACACACCAGCCUGAGGCUUCAUUUUCAAGGACACACCAGGCAAGCGGGCACCCUACGUGAACGUUUGGCCAGACGGACGAGUGAAUGAACGCUGCCCAGGCCCCAGAGAACAUUCCACUCCCCCGCCUGAUGAUCAUCUAUUCGUGGCCAUGAUAAGAUGUGGAACAACAGUUUCAAGAGCAGAUGUCAACACCAGAACCAGAAUCAUCCAGAUUCAUGACCGAAUAUUCUCUGACCGAAAACAAUUUAGGAGAAAAGAGAUUUACAUGGCUUACACUUCGAGUUCACGUCCACCAUUGAGAGAAGUCGGGCAGAGACUAAAGCAGGAACCUGAACCAAAGACCGCAGAGGAAUGCUGCUUCCGGUUUGCCCCUGCCUUGCUGCUUGCGGCACCCCUGCAUUGCUAUGCUUACGGCUCGCCCCUGCAUUGCUCCCUAGCUCAUAUUAAGCUAGCUUUCUUGUAGAGCCCAGGCCCACCUGCCUAGGGAUGGUGCGGUGCAUGAUGGGCUGGACCAUCCUCGGCUCUGUGGUCCUCCCUGUGCGUUUUGGCCCAUGCGUGCUUAUUUCAGGAUAUUUGAUCGCAUCGUGAACGCCAAGAUUCUGAGCUGGGAAAACCGUGUUGUGGUGUGCACACCCCUAACGCUUCGACAGCUAAAUAAAGUCAACUGUGGGUCAAGAGGCGGAGCAAGCAACCAGCUGGCAGGGAGUGGACGCAAAUAAACAGAACGGAGGGUCUUUGAACCAAAGGGCGUUUAAGACAGCAUGGAGAAGGAGAAAACACCUUUUCCUUCUGGGAUAUCGGUGGAGUAGGAAGGUCAGCUUGGUGUUUGUCGGCCCCUCUCAGCAUCUGGCUUCUGAGUCUGAUUUAGUAGAUCGAACAUUUGAGAUUUUUGUUUAAAAAAACAACGCAUGUUUUCUACAAUUAGUUAUAAGCAAUGUGCUUGCCUGAGUUCCAAGAACCACGUUGGCAGAUUAACUAAACCUGUGAAGGGGCUCAUGGCUGGCUGAUGAGUCUGCUUGUAGUGGGCAUCUGAAAUGGAGGGAAUCUUGUAGGGCCGAGCACUCUGCCAUCUGUGGGAGCUGAUGGUACUAUCAAGUGGUCAGUGCCGUGGCUGAGCUGAAGUAGAGACUGCCUAGCUGGAGCGUUCCUGGUAUGUGGGGAGACAACCUCCACACAGCUGGUGUUUUGUAGGAGUGUGGAGGAGAAAAGCAAAUUUUGUUAUCGUGAGACCUGUGUGAGAAGAAGAGCACAAAUUGUAAACGCUAAACUGCGUACAGAGCUUUGG